This 73-nucleotide transfer RNA is filed under the name Dictyocaulus viviparus (bovine lungworm). It matches the Rfam family "tRNA". From Rfam's summary of the family: Transfer RNA (tRNA) molecules are approximately 80 nucleotides in length. Their secondary structure includes four short double-helical elements and three loops (D, anti-codon, and T loops). The record is from Rfam by way of RNAcentral. Lineage: Eukaryota; Metazoa; Nematoda; Chromadorea; Rhabditida; Metastrongylidae.
GCCUCGGUAGUGUAAUCGGUUAGUACAACACACUAGAUAACUAUAGGUGCGAGUUCAAGUCUCGCCUUAGGUU